This 496-nucleotide ribosomal RNA is filed under the name uncultured bacterium. Its description in RNAcentral is "partial 16S ribosomal RNA". It matches the Rfam family "Bacterial small subunit ribosomal RNA", at positions 28 to 507 of the family's 1533-position model. The record is from RNAcentral.
GAUGAACGCUGGCGGCGUGCCUAAUACAUGCAAGUCGAGCGAACAGACGAGGAGCUUGCUCCUCUGACGUUAGCGGCGGACGGGUGAGUAACACGUGGAUAACCUACCUAUAAGACUGGGAUAACUUCGGGAAACCGGAGCUAAUACCGGAUAAUAUAUUGAACCGCAUGGUUCAAUGGUGAAAGACGGUUUUGCUGUCACUUAUAGAUGGAUCCGCGCCGCAUUAGCUAGUUGGUAAGGUAACGGCUUACCAAGGCAACGAUGCGUAGCCGACCUGAGAGGGUGAUCGGCCACACUGGAACUGAGACACGGUCCAGACUCCUACGGGAGGCAGCAGUAGGGAAUCUUCCGCAAUGGGCGAAAGCCUGACGGAGCAACGCCGCGUGAGUGAUGAAGGUCUUCGGAUCGUAAAACUCUGUUAUUAGGGAAGAACAAAUGUGUAAGUACUAUGCACGUCUUGACGGUACCUAAUCAGAAAGCCACGGCUAACUACGUG